This 468-nucleotide ribosomal RNA is filed under the name uncultured bacterium. RNAcentral's name for it is "partial 16S ribosomal RNA". It matches the Rfam family "Bacterial small subunit ribosomal RNA", at positions 28 to 507 of the family's 1533-position model. The record is from RNAcentral.
GACGAACGCUGGCGGCGUGCUUAACACAUGCAAGUCGAACGGAAAGGCCCUGCUUUUGUGGGGUGCUCGAGUGGCGAACGGGUGAGUAACACGUGAGUAACCUGCCCUUGACUUUGGGAUAACUUCAGGAAACUGGGGCUACUACCGGAUAGGAGCUCCUGCUGCAUGGUGGGGGUUGGACAGUUUCGGCGGUAGGGGAUGGACUCGCGGCUUAUCAGCUUGUUGGUGGGGUAGUGGCUUACCAAGGCUUUGACGGGUAGCCGGCCUGAGAGGGUGACCGGCCACAAUGGGACUGAGAUACGGACCAGACUGCUACGGGAGGCAGCAGUGGGGAGUAUGGCACAAUGGGGGGAAGUCUGAUGAGGCAACGCCGCGAGCGGGAUGACGGCCUUGGGGUUGUAAACCGCUGUCGCUUGUGACGAAGCGGGAGUGACGGUAAUGGGUAAAGAAGCACCGGCUAACUACGUG